GGGGACGUUACGGAUUCGACAAGCACAGUUCGAGCUUGAAUUGCGUUUCGUAGGUUACGUCUACGUUAAAACGUUACAGUUAAAUAUAACUGCUAAAAACGAAAACAACUCUUACGCUUUAGCUGCCUAAAAACAGUUAGCGUAGAUCCUCUCGGCAUCGCCCAUGUGCUCGAGUAAGGGUCUCAAAUUUAGUGGGAUACGUUAAACUUUUCCGUCUGUAAAGUUUAAAAGAGAUCAUCAGACUAGCAAUACAGAAUGCCUGUCACUCGGCAAGCUGUAAAGCGAAACCUCAAAUGAGUUGACUAUGAACGUAGAUUUUUAAGUGUCGAUGUGUUUGGACGCGGGUUCGACUCCCGCCGUCUCCAUUU
This 368-nucleotide transfer-messenger RNA is filed under the name Bifidobacterium adolescentis. It matches the Rfam family "transfer-messenger RNA". From Rfam's summary of the family: Bacterial tmRNA, also known as 10Sa RNA or SsrA, is named for its dual tRNA and mRNA-like properties. Its role is to liberate the mRNA from a stalled ribosome. RNAcentral also lists the same sequence under 4 other names. Lineage: Bacteria; Bacillati; Actinomycetota; Actinomycetes; Bifidobacteriales; Bifidobacteriaceae. The record is from RNAcentral.